UGAGUAACGCGUGGGUAACCUGCCCUAAAGACCGGGAUAACAGCGGGAAACCGCUGCUAAUACCGGAUACCUUUACUGGGGGGCAUCCUCUGGUAAAGAAAGGAGCAAUCCGCUUUAGGAUGGGCCCGCGUCCCAUUAGCUAGUUGGUGAGGUAACGGCUCACCAAGGCGACGAUGGGUAGCCGGCCUGAGAGGGUGAACGGCCACACUGGGACUGAGACACGGCCCAGACUCCUACGGGAGGCAGCAGUAGGGAAUCUUGCGCAAUGGGCGAAAGCCUGACGCAGCGACGCCGCGUGAGCGAAGAAGGCCUUCGGGUCGUAAAGCUCUGUCCUCAGGGAAGAAGGAAGUGACGGUACCUGAGGAGGAAGCCCCGGCUAACUACGUGCCAGCAGCCGCGGUAAUACGUAGGGGGCGAGCGUUGUCCGGAAUUACUGGGCGUAAAGGGUGCGUAGGCGGCCCUUUAAGUCGGGUGUGAA
RNAcentral lists this ribosomal RNA (478 nucleotides) under uncultured bacterium. RNAcentral describes it as "bacterial SSU rRNA". It matches the Rfam family "Bacterial small subunit ribosomal RNA", at positions 107 to 598 of the family's 1533-position model. The record is from RNAcentral.